UAUGAAUCUAGUGGAAACAUUUCUGCACAAACUAUAUUGUGGAGACCAGUGUGCGGAAAUGCUUCUGCUACAUUUUUAGG
Dipodomys ordii (Ord's kangaroo rat) is the source of this 80-nucleotide microRNA precursor. The record is from Ensembl. NCBI's taxonomy places the organism in Eukaryota, Metazoa, Chordata, Mammalia, Rodentia, Heteromyidae.